Molecule: ribosomal RNA, 498 nt
Filed under: uncultured bacterium
Lineage: Bacteria
Description: partial 16S ribosomal RNA
Rfam family: Bacterial small subunit ribosomal RNA
Source: RNAcentral
AUUGAACGCUGGCGGCAUGCCUUACACAUGCAAGUCGAACGGUAACAGGUCUUCGGAUGCUGACGAGUGGCGAACGGGUGAGUAAUACAUCGGAACGUGCCCGAGAGUGGGGGAUAACGAAGCGAAAGCUUUGCUAAUACCGCAUACGAUCUCAGGAUGAAAGCAGGGGACCGCAAGGCCUUGCGCUCACGGAGCGGCCGAUGGCAGAUUAGGUAGUUGGUGGGAUAAAAGCUUACCAAGCCGACGAUCUGUAGCUGGUCUGAGAGGACGACCAGCCACACUGGGACUGAGACACGGCCCAGACUCCUACGGGAGGCAGCAGUGGGGAAUUUUGGACAAUGGGCGCAAGCCUGAUCCAGCCAUGCCGCGUGCAGGAUGAAGGCCUUCGGGUUGUAAACUGCUUUUGUACGGAACGAAAAGACUCUGGUUAAUACCUGGGGUCCAUGACGGUACCGUAAGAAUAAGCACCGGCUAACUACGUGCCAGCAGCCGCGGUAA